UAAACAUUCUGUGCAAGAGAAGAAAUCUUGAUGAUGAAUCAAGGAAGAUACCACUAAAAUACCAGCGCUAUACCAAUCAGAAAAGUUAAGUAUACUACGAUGAAAAAGAGAUUUUAUUCAAAAAAUAAGUAUUGCAUUAGAUUGGUUUGCUUCUCUGAAAAACAAAGAGAGAACCUCUAGAACCUUUUCCAAGUCUGAACUUCUCAUCUAUGUAUGUAAUCUCCAGCUUCACUUCACUCCCCCCACCAUCCGUGAACUCCAGUCCUCCAACCUUGAGUUCAGGUGGCUCAAACACUACUUGAAUCCAUUUUCCGUCCAGAGCAGUUAGUUUCCUUGCACAUUAACUCAAGAAUUAAGCC
RNAcentral lists this long non-coding RNA (359 nucleotides) under Olea europaea subsp. europaea. The record is from RNAcentral. Lineage: Eukaryota; Viridiplantae; Streptophyta; Magnoliopsida; Lamiales; Oleaceae.